Long non-coding RNA from Oncorhynchus kisutch (coho salmon), 1061 nucleotides. RefSeq lists it as uncharacterized. Lineage: Eukaryota; Metazoa; Chordata; Actinopteri; Salmoniformes; Salmonidae. The record is from RefSeq and is a predicted model, not a curated record. The transcript is spliced from 4 exons.
CAGACCAGAUACAACAACCUGACUAAAGAGAGAGACCAGAUACAGACCAGAUACAACAACCUGACUAAAGAGAGAGACCAGAUACAGACCAGAUACAACAUCCUGACUACAGAGAAAGGCCAUAUUCAGGCAAAGCUUUUUGUGAUAGAGCAGCAUUGUCAGGAGGGAUGGAGAUACUUUGACUCCAGUUUGUACUUCCUGUCUACUGAGAAGAAAACCUGGAAGCAGAGCAGAGAGGACUGUAAGGGGAGAGGAGCAGACCUGGUGAUCAUAAACAGUAGAGAGGAACAGACAUUUCUCUUCAACCUCCACCUGAGAGCCUGGAUUGGUCUGACUGACUCUGUUACUGAGGAGAUCUGGAAGUGGGUGGACGGCACAACACUGACCACAGGGUACUGGGGGAAAGGACAGCCUGAUAAUGGUGGUCCGCUCCUUGGGCAGGAGGACUGUGUUGAGAUUUACUAUGGACAAGCUGAUCCUGUACAGACAUGGAAUGAUGACAAAUGUGGCUCAAAUCAUGACUGGAUCUGUGAGAAAGAGGUGUAACAAUAACUCUCUCUCUCUCAGUUAUUAUGUUGAUGGUUGGAUACAGUGCUGAAUGGUUAAGUAAUGAUUCCACCUAUUGGUUAAAGUGAGAGAUGAACAUACCAAAGAGAUUAAAUAGUUGUAUUACAGACUUUAAUGCACCCUUACUUGAUUCCUCCUCACAUCUUCUCUCGUCCCCUCUGUCUCAAAACACAUUGGACAAUAGAAUCCUAGGGGAGGGACCUUGGACCUUCUCCUCUAAUAGGGUUGAGAAGGAGGAGAAGAGAAAGGAGGAGAGGAAUCUAGGAAAGACGAAUUGAGAUAGAGCCUUAGUGUCAGAGAGAGAAAGGGGAGUAAGAAGAAAAUUAAGAGAAUGAGGAAGAGAAAAAAUAAGACAAAUAAUUGUUGUGUUUAGAUUAAGAGGAGAGAAUGUAGACAUACUGUACUCUGUAAAAUGAUUCUUCAUUAUUUUUUAUUAGAAACAUGUCAUGUGAUUUGCCAUAGGCUUAUGCUUAUUAAAAAACAAGUGAGUCCAA